GGCAAGCCUACUUGAAGCAUCAAAUUGGGUGUACACAUCCAAUUCAACUUCUAAAUCAUCAAAGUUCGAUCGAAAGGAGGAGAUAAGUUUGCAACCUUCACAAGAGGUCAAGCAUGAAUUACCCUUGAUGGAGGAAAAACAAGAUAGCUGUCAUGAUCUGAUUCUAUGGGCCAGACCAGUAUUAGGACUUGGGCCAACAUAAAGCCCCCAAAGCUUAUAGUAAGCCUUACUGCUCCUGAACCCAUGAUCAGACCCAAUUUCAAUGUCCG
RNAcentral lists this unclassified non-coding RNA (269 nucleotides) under Hevea brasiliensis (rubber tree). The record is from RNAcentral. Lineage: Eukaryota; Viridiplantae; Streptophyta; Magnoliopsida; Malpighiales; Euphorbiaceae.